RNAcentral lists this ribosomal RNA (2925 nucleotides) under Escherichia coli. Its description in RNAcentral is "bacterial LSU rRNA". It matches the Rfam family "Bacterial large subunit ribosomal RNA". The record is from RNAcentral. Lineage: Bacteria; Pseudomonadati; Pseudomonadota; Gammaproteobacteria; Enterobacterales; Enterobacteriaceae.
GGGUUGUGAGGUUAAGCGACUAAGCGUACACGGUGGAUGCCCUGGCAGUCAGAGGCGAUGAAGGACGUGCUAAUCUGCGAUAAGCGUCGGUAAGGUGAUAUGAACCGUUAUAACCGGCGAUUUCCGAAUGGGGAAACCCAGUGUGUUUCGACACACUAUCAUUAACUGAAUCCAUAGGUUAAUGAGGCGAACCGGGGGAACUGAAACAUCUAAGUACCCCGAGGAAAAGAAAUCAACCGAGAUUCCCCCAGUAGCGGCGAGCGAACGGGGAGCAGCCCAGAGCCUGAAUCAGUGUGUGUGUUAGUGGAAGCGUCUGGAAAGGCGCGCGAUACAGGGUGACAGCCCCGUACACAAAAAUGCACAUAUUGUGAGCUCGAUGAGUAGGGCGGGACACGUGGUAUCCUGUCUGAAUAUGGGGGGACCAUCCUCCAAGGCUAAAUACUCCUGACUGACCGAUAGUGAACCAGUACCGUGAGGGAAAGGCGAAAAGAACCCCGGCGAGGGGAGUGAAAAAGAACCUGAAACCGUGUACGUACAAGCAGUGGGAGCACGCUUCGGCGUGUGACUGCGUACCUUUUGUAUAAUGGGUCAGCGACUUAUAUUCUGUAGCAAGGUUAACCGAAUAGGGGAGCCGAAGGGAAACCGAGUCUUAACUGGGCGUUAAGUUGCAGGGUAUAGACCCGAAACCCGGUGAUCUAGCCAUGGGCAGGUUGAAGGUUGGGUAACACUAACUGGAGGACCGAACCGACUAAUGUUGAAAAAUUAGCGGAUGACUUGUGGCUGGGGGUGAAAGGCCAAUCAAACCGGGAGAUAGCUGGUUCUCCCCGAAAGCUAUUUAGGUAGCGCCUCGUGAAUUCAUCUCCGGGGGUAGAGCACUGUUUCGGCAAGGGGGUCAUCCCGACUUACCAACCCGAUGCAAACUGCGAAUACCGGAGAAUGUUAUCACGGGAGACACACGGCGGGUGCUAACGUCCGUCGUGAAGAGGGAAACAACCCAGACCGCCAGCUAAGGUCCCAAAGUCAUGGUUAAGUGGGAAACGAUGUGGGAAGGCCCAGACAGCCAGGAUGUUGGCUUAGAAGCAGCCAUCAUUUAAAGAAAGCGUAAUAGCUCACUGGUCGAGUCGGCCUGCGCGGAAGAUGUAACGGGGCUAAACCAUGCACCGAAGCUGCGGCAGCGACGCUGAUGCGUUGUUGGGUAGGGGAGCGUUCUGUAAGCCUGCGAAGGUGUGCUGUGAGGCAUGCUGGAGGUAUCAGAAGUGCGAAUGCUGACAUAAGUAACGAUAAAGCGGGUGAAAAGCCCGCUCGCCGGAAGACCAAGGGUUCCUGUCCAACGUUAAUCGGGGCAGGGUGAGUCGACCCCUAAGGCGAGGCCGAAAGGCGUAGUCGAUGGGAAACAGGUUAAUAUUCCUGUACUUGGUGUUACUGCGAAGGGGGGACGGAGAAGGCUAUGUUGGCCGGGCGACGGUUGUCCCGGUUUAAGCGUGUAGGCUGGUUUUCCAGGCAAAUCCGGAAAAUCAAGGCUGAGGCGUGAUGACGAGGCACUACGGUGCUGAAGCAACAAAUGCCCUGCUUCCAGGAAAAGCCUCUAAGCAUCAGGUAACAUCAAAUCGUACCCCAAACCGACACAGGUGGUCAGGUAGAGAAUACCAAGGCGCUUGAGAGAACUCGGGUGAAGGAACUAGGCAAAAUGGUGCCGUAACUUCGGGAGAAGGCACGCUGAUAUGUAGGUGAAGUCCCUCGCGGAUGGAGCUGAAAUCAGUCGAAGAUACCAGCUGGCUGCAACUGUUUAUUAAAAACACAGCACUGUGCAAACACGAAAGUGGACGUAUACGGUGUGACGCCUGCCCGGUGCCGGAAGGUUAAUUGAUGGGGUCAGCGCAAGCGAAGCUCUUGAUCGAAGCCCCGGUAAACGGCGGCCGUAACUAUAACGGUCCUAAGGUAGCGAAAUUCCUUGUCGGGUAAGUUCCGACCUGCACGAAUGGCGUAAUGAUGGCCAGGCUGUCUCCACCCGAGACUCAGUGAAAUUGAACUCGCUGUGAAGAUGCAGUGUACCCGCGGCAAGACGGAAAGACCCCGUGAACCUUUACUAUAGCUUGACACUGAACAUUGAGCCUUGAUGUGUAGGAUAGGUGGGAGGCUUUGAAGUGUGGACGCCAGUCUGCAUGGAGCCGACCUUGAAAUACCACCCUUUAAUGUUUGAUGUUCUAACGUUGACCCGUAAUCCGGGUUGCGGACAGUGUCUGGUGGGUAGUUUGACUGGGGCGGUCUCCUCCUAAAGAGUAACGGAGGAGCACGAAGGUUGGCUAAUCCUGGUCGGACAUCAGGAGGUUAGUGCAAUGGCAUAAGCCAGCUUGACUGCGAGCGUGACGGCGCGAGCAGGUGCGAAAGCAGGUCAUAGUGAUCCGGUGGUUCUGAAUGGAAGGGCCAUCGCUCAACGGAUAAAAGGUACUCCGGGGAUAACAGGCUGAUACCGCCCAAGAGUUCAUAUCGACGGCGGUGUUUGGCACCUCGAUGUCGGCUCAUCACAUCCUGGGGCUGAAGUAGGUCCCAAGGGUAUGGCUGUUCGCCAUUUAAAGUGGUACGCGAGCUGGGUUUAGAACGUCGUGAGACAGUUCGGUCCCUAUCUGCCGUGGGCGCUGGAGAACUGAGGGGGGCUGCUCCUAGUACGAGAGGACCGGAGUGGACGCAUCACUGGUGUUCGGGUUGUCAUGCCAAUGGCACUGCCCGGUAGCUAAAUGCGGAAGAGAUAAGUGCUGAAAGCAUCUAAGCACGAAACUUGCCCCGAGAUGAGUUCUCCCUGACCCUUUAAGGGUCCUGAAGGAACGUUGAAGACGACGACGUUGAUAGGCCGGGUGUGUAAGCGCAGCGAUGCGUUGAGCUAACCGGUACUAAUGAACCGUGAGGCUUAACCUUACAACGCCGAAG